UAGCUAGUAGGUGGGGUAACGGCUCACCUAGGCGACGAUCCCUAGCUGGUCUGAGAGGAUGACCAGCCACACUGGAACUGAGACACGGUCCAGACUCCUACGGGAGGCAGCAGUGGGGAAUAUUGCACAAUGGGCGCAAGCCUGAUGCAGCCAUGCCGCGUGUAUGAAGAAGGCCUUCGGGUUGUAAAGUACUUUCAGCGGGGAGGAAGGCGAUGUGGUUAAUAACCGCGUCGAAGACGUACCCGCAGAAGAAGC
Molecule: ribosomal RNA, 255 nt
Filed under: uncultured bacterium
Lineage: Bacteria
Description: partial 16S ribosomal RNA
Rfam family: Bacterial small subunit ribosomal RNA
Source: RNAcentral